GCGCGCCAGCGUUUUAAUUGCUGUGCGAAUUAUACGUCGGGAUGACAGCUGCAUGUGAAUAAAGCCUUAACAGUGCAGAUACGUGGUAAUUGGAACGGUAGUUAGCGGUCAAUGCAGGCUAUAGAACUUCUGUAACACCAGAAUCUUCUGACCAGACUCUGGGCUGAUAUUGGGAGAUACAACGCAAACCGAGCCAAGUGGGACUUCUCCAAACAUCGCUUGUGUGGCUGCGGUGCCAUCCAGUCUAUAUAUGGCUCACCAGAUAUUAUAUCUUAAUGCCCCACCAGAUAAAUGUCCUAACUUUUCUGCGCUAAAUAAGACCCAAACGAGGCGAAGAGAGCUGUAACGUGGACAACUAUAAUUAUAAUAGCA
Molecule: long non-coding RNA, 372 nt
Organism: Plodia interpunctella (Indianmeal moth)
Lineage: Eukaryota; Metazoa; Arthropoda; Insecta; Lepidoptera; Pyralidae
Exons: 3
Source: RefSeq, a predicted model, not a curated record